RNAcentral lists this long non-coding RNA (199 nucleotides) under Solanum tuberosum (potato). Its description in RNAcentral is "long non-coding RNA (STUB_LNC008633)". Lineage: Eukaryota; Viridiplantae; Streptophyta; Magnoliopsida; Solanales; Solanaceae. The record is from RNAcentral.
AACCUCAGAUCAACAAAUAAGAGCAAGUAGAUCAAAUUCCACAUAAGAAGGGUAAAUCGAUACAAUCCACACAUCACAGACAAAGAUAAGGCAAAUGCGAUGCAAAAUGCAAUAAUGAUGUCAUGUAGUCGUGAUGCAUGUCUGUCCUACGAUACACAUCUGUUGACGUAAUCAGUCCGCGCUGAAUACUCAAAUCAGA